This is an RNA transcript of Papaver somniferum (opium poppy), 1697 nucleotides long. It is a transcript of the gene named proteasome subunit alpha type-1-A-like, with no coding region annotated. The transcript has 4 exons. The record is from RefSeq and is a predicted model, not a curated record. Lineage: Eukaryota; Viridiplantae; Streptophyta; Magnoliopsida; Ranunculales; Papaveraceae.
UCUUGCGAUAUUAUACUUUCUAUAUCAUCAUCGCUGGUCAGCCGAUUGACUUCAAUUCCUCCUUUCUCUAGUUCUACAUCUUCCAACAAAGAGAAACUGUGAUAAGAUCUAUGAUACAGCGAAGUUUGAUGGAUGCAUUCACAUACUCGUUAUUUCUGCAUUACCCUAUACAUCGAUGGGGGUUGAAUGCAAAUGACUUUCUAUCAAAGAAGAGAAAGUUGAUAUGUCGGCUCCACCAGGUUUUGUCUUACUUACAUCCGUCACUCUAAAGAAGAUGGAUAAAGGUGAAGUUUUGAUGAGUAAUAUGGUCUCUGCGGGUGCAAAUGAGUGUCUGAGGCUUAAGAGAUCUCUUAGGUACAGACCAUGGGUACACUACAGUAAAUUAGGUGAUAGCUCGGAUGAGGAAUCUACAGAUCGACAACCUCAUCAGCUUCAUCCUUAUACUGAAAGUUCGAAAAAUCUAACUGGCCUUCACAUUAUGAAAUUCACUAUAAUCACAUAUUUGUGAUCUGAAUAUUUUUGUUCUUUAUUCUCAACAUCUUCCUCCGAGACCGUGCCUUCCUAAAGGUGUUCUUCGUGGGUGUUUUAAGUGUACUAAUUGCGAAAAGGUGGUUAAGUGAUGGUGUCUGAGUCAUUCUUUCCUUUGCUCAUUUAGGUCUUAAUUAUGAUGAGAGGUUUAUGCUGUUAAAUUACGAUGUUAAUGGUGUCUUUAAACAGGUCAUGGAAAAGUGGCGUCCAGAAGCUGCACAAAGGUCUUUCCUUGAGGAUGCACCUGUUUUUUAUCCAUUUUACAGAAAUUAUAUCCAUUAUUUUUUCUUUAUUUACUAUUUCAUGUCAUCGGAGAAUGCUAUGUUGUACAAGUUUGGGUUUCUGAUCAUUUAAAACUCUAUUUGCAGGAGUUUAACGAUACACUUAAAUAUAUAGACAACAUACGUUCAAAAGCAGAGCCAUAUAGAAUUUGCAGAAUAAUUCCUUCCUCUUCAUGGAGACCUCACUGCCCUCUUAAAGAAAACAGUGUAUGAGAGACUCAACUGACUAUGAAGAUACAACUACAUCAGGUUUGCACCCAGAGGUCAUGGAAACGUCCAUAUGGUGUUGGUCUCCUUGUUGGAGGGUUGGAUGAAUCAGGAGCACACCUCUACUACAAUUUCUCAAGUGGGAACUACUUCGAAUACCAGGCCUUUUCUAUUGGUGCUCACUCACAAUCUGCUAAAACUUGUUUGGAAUGCAAAUUUGAGUCCUUCGCCAACUCUACCUGUGAUGAUCUGAUCAAAGAUGCCCUCUUUGCAAUCAAGGAAACUUUACAAGGAGAGAAGCUAACAAGCUCAAUCUGCACUGUUGCUGUUGUUGGUCUUGAAGAGGAUUUCCACAUUUUGGAUCAGAAAGCUAUGUAAGAGUUUAUCGAGUUGUUAGAGAUAAGGGAAGAGGCGCCCGUGCAAGAAGAAGCAGAAGUGCCUCCUCCAGCUCCAAUGGACAUUGGAGAUCUGUAAGAGAAGCGGUUGCAUUGCUUUGAAGUGGUGCAUUUCGUUGCUUCGAUUAUACAGAAAUGUUCAUAGGUAGAAACUGAACUCAGGAUGACAUUGUUAGUAAUGGAGAACAUUUUUGUUCAAUGCACACUUAAUGUCUCUUUCUUUGUUCAAUGUGCAAUUGAUGUCUCUUUCAGUGAAUUCUUUGCCUGAAUUUUUGGCCUGAAAAUU